UACAGAGGGGGCAAGCGUUGUUCGGAAUUACUGGGCGUAAAGGGCGCGUAGGCGGCCUGUUAAGUCGAACGUGAAAUCCCCGGGCUCAACCCGGAACUGCGUCCGAUACUGGCAGGCUUGAAUUCGGGAGAGGGAUGCGGAAUUCCAGGUGUAGCGGUGAAAUGCGCAGAUAUCGGGAAGAACACCUAUGGCGAAGGCAGCUCUCUGGGACGGUACUGACGCUGAGACGCGAAAGCGUGGGGAGCGAACAGG
RNAcentral lists this ribosomal RNA (252 nucleotides) under uncultured bacterium. RNAcentral describes it as "partial 16S ribosomal RNA". It matches the Rfam family "Bacterial small subunit ribosomal RNA", at positions 524 to 776 of the family's 1533-position model. The record is from RNAcentral.